RNAcentral lists this non-coding RNA (170 nucleotides) under Fontibacillus panacisegetis. Lineage: Bacteria; Bacillati; Bacillota; Bacilli; Caryophanales; Paenibacillaceae. The record is from RNAcentral.
AUCGUCGUGAGCUAUCUGAAGGAAGCCACAGGCAAACCCCUCGGUCUGAAGAACAGAAAUCACAUACAAGACAUGGUGAGACAGGCGAGCUUGCUGAACAAAGCGAAGUCCAAUACUGCCCGAAUCCCAUUCAGUGAAUGUGGCAAAUGGAUGAGGAGAAGGUUAUCGCU